Molecule: ribosomal RNA, 397 nt
Filed under: uncultured bacterium
Lineage: Bacteria
Description: partial 16S ribosomal RNA
Rfam family: Bacterial small subunit ribosomal RNA
Source: RNAcentral
AUACGAAGGGUGCAAGCGUUACUCGGAAUUACUGGGCGUAAAGCGUGCGUAGGUGGUUGUUUAAGUCUGUCGUGAAAGCCCUGGGCUCAACCUGGGAAUGGCGAUGGAAACUGGGCGACUAGAGUGUGGCAGAGGGUAGUGGAAUUCCUGGUGUAGCAGUGAAAUGCGUAGAGAUCAGGAGGAACAUCCGUGGCGAAGGCGUCUGCCUGGGCCAACACUGACACUGAGGCACGAAAGCGUGGGGAGCAAACAGGAUUAGAUGCCCUGGUAGUCCACGCCCUAAACGAUGCGAACUGGAUGUUGGGUGCAAUUUGGUACGCAGUAUCGAAGCUAACGCGUUAAGUUCGCCGCCUGGGGAGUACGGUCGCAAGACUGAAACUCAAAUGAAUUGGCGGGG